CAGCCAUCAAGCACCGCUUGGAGUUGGGCGUCGCUGGCCUACAGCGCGUCUCAAAAUCAGUGGCGGUACUAUCCAGGCCCCGAGCGCAGUAAAUCUCUCUCGCUUUGGAGCCUGGGCAGGGCCCGCCAGAAGCCAACUAUGUAUA
Molecule: unclassified non-coding RNA, 145 nt
Filed under: uncultured Microglossum
Lineage: Eukaryota; Fungi; Ascomycota; Leotiomycetes; Myxotrichaceae
Description: sequence contains ITS2
Source: RNAcentral